Molecule: ribosomal RNA, 295 nt
Filed under: uncultured bacterium
Lineage: Bacteria
Description: partial 16S ribosomal RNA
Rfam family: Bacterial small subunit ribosomal RNA
Source: RNAcentral
UUGCCCCUACGGGAGGCAGCAGUGGGGAAUAUUGCACAAUGGGCGAAAGCCUGAUGCAGCAACGCCGCGUGAAGGAAGACGGUUUUCGGAUUGUAAACUUUUGUUCUUAGUGAAGAAAAAUGACGGUAGCUAAGGAGCAAGCCACGGCUAACUACGUGCCAGCAGCCGCGGUAAUACGUAGGUGGCAAGCGUUGUCCGUAAUUACUGGGUGUAAAGGGAGCGUAGGCGGGAAACCAAGUCAGCUGUGAGAACUACGGGCUUAACCUGUAGACUGCAGUUGAAACUGGCUUUCUUG